UCCCUUCAUCCUCCCAAGCUUGUAUUCUUUCUACCUUUUGUCUGUUUUUCUUUUUAACUCCUAGGUGGAGUCGAUGCGUCACUCCAUGGGGCCUGCUGGCUAUGGGGACAGUAUGGCUGCCAACCAGAUGUACAGCCCACGAGAAAUGAGGGCCAAUGGGGGCUGGCAGGAAGCCGCCACCCCAUCUUCUGUCACCUCCCCAACAGAAGGUCCCGGCAGUGUCCACUCUGACACCUCCAACUGAUCCUGCUGUGCUGGCCGUUCCCCUCCUCCCCCCCUUUUCACCUUCGUCCCGAUGCCAGGGAAGAGAGAAAAACGCCCGUUGUGAAUGGGCCGGGCAGAGACAGGACUCCUUUCAUUGCCUUAGGGUCACCGCAUCACCGUGCCGGGGAAGGGUGGGGGGAGGGGAAUCCGAUGACCCGAUGAUCCUUGGGGGGGGGGGCAGAUCGUUUUGAGGUGCGCCCAUCGUCGGAUAGAAGACGGAUGUCCUUCUGUGAUCCGGAGUGAUGCCUUUGAUAACCAAGGCCUGACUCUUUUAAGCAUCCUGGAGGGGGGAACCCAGCAUUAUUGGGCGGUGGGUGGGAACGGGUGGUGGGAGAGGUGGGUGUCCCAAACGGCUUAUCAAUUUGCAGGGGUUAAGGGAUAGGCUACUGUGGUACCUGCAACCAAUGUCAUCGUCUGAUGGAUCUGGUUCAUAAGGUUAUACACCACCCCCCCCUCAAAAA
This is a non-coding RNA of Notechis scutatus (mainland tiger snake), 725 nucleotides long. Lineage: Eukaryota; Metazoa; Chordata; Lepidosauria; Squamata; Elapidae. The record is from RefSeq and is a predicted model, not a curated record.